AACGAACGCUGGCGGCAUGCCUAACACAUGCAAGUCGAACGAGACCUUCGGGUCUAGUGGCGCACGGGUGCGUAACGCGUGGGAACCUGCCCUUAGGUUCGGAAUAACUCCCCGAAAGGGGUGCUAAUACCGGAUAAUGUCUUCGGACCAAAGAUUUAUCGCCUUUGGAUGGGCCCGCGUUGGAUUAGCUAGUUGGUAGGGUAAAAGCCUACCAAGGCGACGAUCCAUAGCUGGUCUGAGAGGAUGAUCAGCCACACUGGGACUGAGACACGGCCCAGACUCCUACGGGAGGCAGCAGUGGGGAAUAUUGGACAAUGGGCGAAAGCUGAUCCAGCAAUGCCGCGUGAGUGAUGAAGGCCUUAGGGUUGUAAAGCUCUUUUACCCGGGAUGAUAAUGACAGUACCGGGAGAAUAAGCUCCGGCUAACUCCGUG
This 432-nucleotide ribosomal RNA is filed under the name uncultured bacterium. Its description in RNAcentral is "partial 16S ribosomal RNA". It matches the Rfam family "Bacterial small subunit ribosomal RNA", at positions 29 to 507 of the family's 1533-position model. The record is from RNAcentral.